GCAUCGCUUCGCUUAACGCUCAAGCAUUAGGUUUUAGCAUUCCCCCACCUCCUUGCGCGAUCUUCUUCUUCUUCUUCACUUCUCAAAAACCCAAGUCCCCUUCCUCCCUCGAUCCAGAAGAUAUAUGUAAUAUAUAUGUAAGCAUAUGCUGUGCUAGGUCGUUUUCGGCUGUUUUACAGUCAUGUCUAUUCGAUACAAAUUCAGAAGCUCCGCGAACUUUGACUCGGUUGACAUCGAAGGUCGGCCGUCGAUAUCAGUUCGCGAACUCAGGGCUAGCAUAGUUCGCCGGAAUAAACUCAACCUCAACUCCCAGAAUUUCGUUCUCGUCCUCUCCGACGCCGUCACCGGUCAAGAGUAUAACGAUGAGGAUUUUCAAAUCCCUAGCGGUUCCACUGUAAUCGUUAAGAGACUGCCUGCUGGUUCUGUCCCUUCUCCAUUGGAACCCAUCAAUUCAGUUGGAAAUCUUGACUCCAAGGAUUCCAACCCUGUUAAUCCCAUUGGAUGUCUUCCCUUGAAUGCAGAUACAGACAACUUUCAUGACUUUGGGAUUGACUUCUUUCCUGUUCCUGAGGCAGUCUUAUGUGAUUCUGAUAUGAAGAGAUGCAGUAGUAGUGGAAAGCCGAAUAAUGCAAUUCCUGGGUGUAGAGCCGGAUUUUCAAAUUUUGAAGCAAGUGAACUUAGCGAGGGUAUUUGGAAUGAUCCUAACCACAAUGGUACAGAACGAAACUCCCCAGAGACAAAAGUGAAACCAAAUGGUGACAGCCACAAGGAAUUGGAUAAGAUGGUUGCUGCCAAUUAUUCAGCCGUGCAGAAUAAUGAUUUUCCAUCAGAAUUUAAAUGUCCUCUGUGCAAUGCAUUUUUCAAGGAUGCUGUUAUGAUACCAUGCUGUCAGCAUAGUUUCUGUGAAAAAUGUAUUCAUGAUGAGCUCCAAAAGAAGGCACAAUGUCCAAAAUGUUUUUCUUGCCAAUGUAAGGUUGAAAAUCUGCUACCAAAUUUAUGUCUUAGGCAAGCAAUUAAGCACUUCCUCACAGCUCCAUAUCCUAUGAGUAGCUCAGACAAUGCGUUGGAUAAAUAUGCCCCAGAUGGUGAAUCUGGAAUUCAUGCGAAAAAUUUUUCUUGUGAUGUAAAUGCCCGUAAAAGUGAGCCGUACGUUCCACUUUCUCCUUCUGCAAAUGAAAAGGGCUCCAACCAAAUUAUGGCUGACGAGUCAUGGAUCGGUAAUACAGUGCCCUUGUGGUGCUCUGGUUUUCGUGGCAGUAACAUAGGUGCCAGUAAAGCUUUGAAAUCGGCAUCACAUAAAUUGGGACAAAUAGAUGGAGAACAAGUUGAUAAAAUUCUUCAUGUGGAUUCUCGAGGUGAAGAAUUAAUGGCUGUUCCUGAUUUUCAAGGGGAAAACCAGCCUCAUGAUUUGCCUCAAAGUUGCAUGCAUGAAGAAGUUGAUUCUGGAAUCAACAAAAACAAGGGAGUGUUGAUCCAUAAUAGAGGUGGAGAUAGUAAUUUCGUGGCUUCUAGACACAGAAAGAGAGGACGUACCUGUUACACAUGUGGUUCUCCAGACCAUCUCAUAAGAGACUGUCCAGUUGCUUCUUGCCCCUAUCCUAAACUUCAGACUGGUGCUGUGUCAAAUUAUGCCUCACCCUUCUGGACUGGCAAUUCUUUAGCUCCUACCCAACAUUUCAUGGAUAUGUAUGGAAAUUCUGGGAUGAUGCCUUUACCUGCAAUGGUUCCUCCACCUUUCAUGGCUCCUACAUAUAUGCCACCAGUGUUUGGAGGGUUACCUGUACCCAGUGGAUUCACGAGGGUUGGAGGCGUGUUUCCACAAGUACAAACUGGUUCAGUGCAUCCUGUUGCUCAUCCAGAAAAAUUGGAGGUUCGCCAUUGUGAAAACAGAUCUAAGUUUUUGAAUGAGAAUCUGGGGAGAGGGCGGCCUUAUGAGGAUGGUGAUGGAGACUACAAUAAGUAUUCGUGUAAUAAACUGAAGAGACCGCAUCAGGAUAGAUAUAAUAUAGAGACAGAAAAGAGUGGAAGCCACUCCAAAGAUAGCUUCACUUAUCGAUCACAACGGGAAGUUCCACAUGAUAAACAUUUAGAUCAGGACAACUAUGCUGUGGCUGAAGGACAGGUGAAAAAUUUUCAUCCUGCAAUUGCUGAAGGAGAAUGGUCUAAUAGGAGGCCAUAUCAUGGAGGGAGAUCAAGUUCAGAAGCAGAAGAUUUGCAUGCUAGAUCUGACAGGCAGUUUGAGCAGAGAGACAGACACCAUUACAGAAGCUCCGAAAAGCAUGAAAGGAAGAAGCAGUGGGAGUUGGAAGAAAGAGGAAAGGAUGGUGAAAGAAUGAGGGAUAAGCAUGGAGAAGAUUCUCAUUACCGCAAGUGGAGAAGAGUUCAUUAGAACAAGACAUUCUUGUUUUUGAGGUAAAGGUGUAUAUAGCAGUGCAUAUAUCAACUAGGCAAUCAUGGAUCCUGGUAUGUUUUCAUAAUUGAUUAGAUUUUCUAUACAAUUAAUUCAGUAUGUAGAUCUAGUUCUCAUCUUUUAGUUACCAAAGAGGCGGUGGGUAUAUUAAGAUGCACACAACUUUUUUUGGGCACGUUUGGGCUCAUUAGGAUCUAAUUUAGAAUUCUCUUGGGCUUUGUUAGUAAGGUUUUGCAAGGGUGAUUAGGUUUUCGAGAAUUCAUGCUUCACCUUUUUUGCUAACUCUCUUCACAUUUUAGCUUGAGGUUUGGACGCUAGCAAAGGUUUUAGCCACAGGAGAUUUGGCAUAUUGAAAUAGGGUUUGGAUGACAUUUCCACGUGCGGCCACAUUUCUUAUUCUGCAGAGGUUUGUAGCUGAAAAAGGUAUGUGCUCCUUUGAAGUCUAUGAAGGUUUCUUUUCCAUCCCAAAGGCUAUUCCCUGCCUUCGGGAGUUUGUCAAGUCCCUUUUAUUUUCUCUUGGCUUGAUUCAAUUCAGCGUCACUCCUUUAGGUUACCGGUUAGGCUACUUGUUUUCCAAAUUGAAGUAAUAGUUUUGAGGAGUGAACACUCGGUAAAAUCUAGUUUCUUAUCAUCUUUCCUACUGCAAAAUUCAGUUGAGGGCUGUUUGGUUAUGGUUGUGUUUGAAAACCCAACAUGCUAAAAUUUUUCAAAGCUUUUUUCUGGUUUCAUAUAGUCUUGCAAUUUCAGAUAUGAUAACUUUUAGAGUCAGUACAAACAUUUCCUUCUUUCUUAAAAUCAGGAUAUUUUUAGUCAGUACACAUUCUUAGUUCAGCCAUCUUGAAUAUAUUUUUAUAGUCUGUCUCCCACUAGUUUGGAUGUCCACUUUUUAGCGACUUUUUUUUUUUUUUUGUGGCUGCUGAAUAUAUUUGGCGUAGGUUUUUCUGUUUAAUACAUAGUAAAGUAGUCCUAAAAUGUAUGUUGGUUGGUGAAAUUACUUGUGCUUUGGCUAUUAUGAUUUUAGCAUUUUCAACUGUUAUCUAUUUUCAAAGUACUUUGACUAAUGCAGUCUGAUACAUUACGAUUUUGGUAUGCUCUACAAUUAUUUAAUUUACACAUACACACACCCCUUGUUAAUUUAGUGUACUAUUUUUUAAGAAAAUAAAGGCCCAAUGCACUGCCAACUCUCUCUAAAUAUACGCAUAUGUAUUCGUAUAAGAAUUUUUUGUAAAUAUAUGUAAAACAACAAAUUUUAUUAUAAAACUAAUGAUUUUGUUGACACGGUACUGUCUAGUCCAUUGAUCGAUUGGGUUGGGUUGACAAAGUUGGCAUUGCUCUUUCCAAUUCCUUAUUCCUUCUCCUCCACACCCCCCCCCCCCCCAAAAAAAAAAAAAAAAAAAAAAAAAAUGGGAGCAACAAAGUUGCACCAUUAUGAAUAGGUAUUUUUUUUUUUCAAAUUAUAAUCUUUGUCCCCCUUGUAGUGUGUCAAAAAUGUUACUUUUUUAUAUUGUGGUUCAUCUGGUGGGCUGAGAAUGGGGAGGGGGUGGAGGUUUUGCAGCUUAAGCCAUGGCCAAGGGAAGAGUUGCAAGGAACGGUGGCCAUGUUCUACUGAUUUCACAAGAGCAUCAUCUUGGGCAAUCAAAGUAGGAGAUGGCAGACAGGACCAGGAUGAAGCAUAAGGAGUCACAGCUCUAUCAAGUUUCAACAAUGAUAGGGGAAAUACAUAGUAGGAUGGAAGUGUUGGAGAAUUCAAUAGAUCGGAGAAUUGAAGGCAUGGUGAAUAUGUGGCGCGAAGAAAAUAGAUUGCAGACGACGAGAUUGGAAGAGGAAAUGAGGUAGCAGGGUCAGGCCCUCAAAGCAAAUGUAACAAUUUGUUCUGAUACUCACUCGUAAAGGUAAAAGAAAAGCCUUGGAUGAGGGUGUAUCUGAUGGAGUUUGAUUCUCGUGAGUUAGUUAUGUGUACAGAGCAAUUCCAACCAAAAGAUCCGUGAGAGUUUGUGUUGAGGGCAAUAGAAAUAAGCUUAAUUUUGUAUUUUAUUUUGUGCCCUUUAUUUUGAGAUGUAUGGGUGGGUAGGCCUUAAAGAAUUUAUUAAAUGAAUGGUGAUGUAAGUGUUUAUAUUGAUUUCAAUAGCUUAAUGAAAAGAUAUGAUUAGUUUUA
Diospyros lotus (date-plum) is the source of this 4565-nucleotide RNA transcript. It is a transcript of the gene named E3 ubiquitin ligase PARAQUAT TOLERANCE 3-like, with no coding region annotated. NCBI's taxonomy places the organism in Eukaryota, Viridiplantae, Streptophyta, Magnoliopsida, Ericales, Ebenaceae. The transcript has 17 exons. The record is from RefSeq and is a predicted model, not a curated record.